GAUGCACGCUGGCGGCGUGCCUAAUACAUGCAAGUCAAGCGAACGGACGAGAAGCUUGCUUCUCUGAUGUUAGCGGCGGACGGGUGAGUAACACGUGGAUAACCUACCUAUAAGACUGGGAUAACUUCGGGAAACCGGAGCUAAUACCGGAUAAUAUUUUGAACCGCAUGGUUCAAAAGUGAAAGACGGUCUUGCUGUCACUUAUAGAUGGAUCCGCGCUGCAUUAGCUAGUUGGUAAGGUAACGGCUUACCAAGGCAACGAUGCAUAGCCGACCUGAGAGGGUGAUCGGCCACACUGGAACUGAGACACGGUCCAGACUCCUACGGGAGGCAGCAGUAGGGAAUCUUCCGCAAUGGGCGAAAGCCUGACGGAGCAACGCCGCGUGAGUGAUGAAGGUCUUCGGAUCGUAAAACUCUGUUAUUAGGGAAGAACAUAUGUGUAAGUAACUGUGCACAUCUUGACGGUACCUAAUCAGAAAGCCACGGCUAACUACGUG
This 497-nucleotide ribosomal RNA is filed under the name uncultured bacterium. RNAcentral's name for it is "partial 16S ribosomal RNA". It matches the Rfam family "Bacterial small subunit ribosomal RNA", at positions 28 to 507 of the family's 1533-position model. The record is from RNAcentral.